CCGGCGACCGGCGCACGGGUGAGUAACACGUAUGCAACCUGCCCUCUUCAGGGGGACAACCUUCCGAAAGGGAGGCUAAUCCCGCGUAUAUCGGUUUCGGACAUCCGAGAUCGAGGAAAGAUUCAUCGGAAGAGGAUGGGCAUGCGGCGCAUUAGCUAGACGGCGGGGUAACGGCCCACCGUGGCGACGAUGCGUAGGGGUUCUGAGAGGAAGGUCCCCCACACUGGUACUGAGACACGGACCAGACUCCUACGGAAGGCAGCAG
This 265-nucleotide ribosomal RNA is filed under the name uncultured bacterium. RNAcentral's name for it is "partial 16S ribosomal RNA". It matches the Rfam family "Bacterial small subunit ribosomal RNA", at positions 88 to 354 of the family's 1533-position model. The record is from RNAcentral.